AGAGAUAUCUCCGCCGAAAAUUAUUCCUUUUUUUUUAAUUAGAGAUAAAUAUAUUUGGCAUUUUUCAUCGUUAAUUCGAUAUACGUUUGAUGCGACUGAAAAUGCUCCUGUCUAUUUUGAAAGCAUCGUGAUUUUCAGUCGCAUCGUCAUAAUGUCAUACUCGCGAUGCACGGCCACUUGGCGCCCUCAUUGAAGAUGCCAGAAAACACAGCCAAAUAACUCAAUCAUGCAUGCAAAUAAACUACUUUUCAAUAGAAACCUAAUUAAAUAGAAACACGAAAGUCAAAGAUAUUGUAAUCGCAGAUUAAUGCAAUUAUAAGUAAUAUUCUUUGCAGUGACUUGAGGAGAAGAAAAAAUUCGAAGAGUGGAAGAAGCCGCCGGCAGCUUGAUAACUACAAGUAUUGAUACUAUCAUUAACUUAUUUAUUAUUUUGUAUAUUAAAAACUUUGGGCUAAUUAAAAUCUGUUAAAUAGUUUUUUUUUUUUUAAACUUUUGAUUAUAACCAAACAAAGAGACAUAAUAAAUCUCCUUUGACAUUCCUAAUGUAAAGGGUCUUUAUCGAAGUUUCUUCCUGUUGAUUCUUUCAAAAUAGUCGGUCCAAUAUUUUAAACUAAUAUCAACAGUCAUUUUAUGUAGUUACAACUUGCAUGGCGUUAAUAACAAUUGUAAAAUGGGGAAAUAAUUCGUGAACCACUCGUUUGCCAUUUGGUGAGGUGGUUGAUAUCUCAUGAGCUCAUUAUCAAGAUUGAUUGUUCAAGUGUACAAAUAAAUUUUCAUUUAAUUUAAUAAAGGGUGGAAUUAUUUACAC
This 808-nucleotide long non-coding RNA is filed under the name Citrus x clementina. RNAcentral's name for it is "Citrus clementina (C. clementina) long non-coding RNA (CCLE_LNC000224)". The record is from RNAcentral. Lineage: Eukaryota; Viridiplantae; Streptophyta; Magnoliopsida; Sapindales; Rutaceae.